AAAACGUCCCUUCCUUCAGGUGUGUAUAUAAGUUACUGUACUGUGUGGGAGGGUCACGAUCUCACUAGGUGCAGAAGAUUCCCCAGGAUUAACCCCUCCUCUCCCUACCCCUUCUGCAACUUGUUGAGGAUUUUAUACACACACGCGCGCAGGCACGGGCACACGGGCACACACACACACACGGACGGGAGAGCAAGGAGAAAGCGAGCUCCGCGGAGUCCGGCUGCCCCCCGACGCCGUUGUGAUUGGAUGGUCUUUUCAUGGAGAGGGGACGUCUCAAGUCGAAGUCACGAUUUCUCCUCAGUUUGGAACCAUCUGUGACUGGAGCCAUGACGCAGCCAGAGCACAUUACUCACUUUUACAGUCACGACUUGGAAAUCCGUGCAGUUUCCAACCAAAAUUACACCGCCACCAUUGAAUUAUUUAAUAGGAUCCAGUUAAGGAUUAGAGCCAUUGCAUGCGGUCUUGGCCAGGAGGUGCUCUCACCCCAGCCCAGUGUGCUGUGCUAUACUGAUGUUCAUGGCUGCAUCAUGCCAUUGUCUGCAGGAUCCGCAAUUGUUGCUGGGCUUUGUGUGGUCUCAGUCUGCGGCUAAGCCCCCUUCCACGGCGGUUUCGGAGGGGAUACCAUUGUCCGGGAUAACGCGGUGCUGCAUGUGAGUGCCAGACGGUGUUUCCUUGUCUCUUUUAAUGCAAUCUGAUGACAUGCCUUUGCUAGCCGGAAUGCCUGCGAACAUGCAUGCUCGUAGCCUAGCGAGAACUUCCCUGGCUCCCAGAAGCGGUGAGGGGGUGACGGGUGGUUGCAGCACAGAGGUAACCCUACACAGCUACUCCGUAUACACCACAACAAUCCCCUACUACUUCGCCUCUAAUUCAGUCAUUUCACCAACUCCGCUGGUGAGGGUAUGACUAAGGACGCGAAGGACGGGCAAUAAUAAAAACAGACGCUCGCACA
RNAcentral lists this long non-coding RNA (952 nucleotides) under Zonotrichia albicollis (white-throated sparrow). Its description in RNAcentral is "lncRNA (ENSZALG00000013583.1)". The record is from RNAcentral. Lineage: Eukaryota; Metazoa; Chordata; Aves; Passeriformes; Passerellidae.